This 1919-nucleotide ribosomal RNA is filed under the name marine sediment metagenome. Its description in RNAcentral is "bacterial LSU rRNA". It matches the Rfam family "Bacterial large subunit ribosomal RNA", at positions 3 to 1973 of the family's 2925-position model. The record is from RNAcentral.
UCAAGCGAAUAAGUGCAUGUGGUGGAUGCCUUGGCGAUCACAGGCGAUGAAGGACGUAGUAGCUUGCGAAAAGCUGCGGGGAGCUGGCAAACGAGCUUUGAUCCGCAGAUGUCCGAAUGGGGAAACCCGGCCCGUAUGGGUCAUCCCUGACUGAAUACAUAGGUCAGGGAGGCGAACGCAGUGAACUGAAACAUCUAAGUAGCUGCAGGAAAAGAAAUCAACCGAGAUUCCCAAAGUAGUGGCGAACGAAAUGGGAUCAGCCUUGUACUCUUUAGCAGUAUUGUUAGCAAAACGGAAUGGAAAGUCCGGCCAUAGUGGGUGAUAGCCCCGUAUGCGAAAACAGUAUUGUGGAACUAAGUGUACGACAAGUAGGGCGGGACACGUGAAAUCCUGUCUGAAGAUGGGGGGACCAUCCUCCAAGGCUAAAUACUCGUGAUCGACCGAUAGUGAACCAGUACCGUGAGGGAAAGGCGAAAAGAACCCCGGGAGGGGAGUGAAAUAGAUCCUGAAACCGCAUGCAUACAAACAGUCGGAGCCUGGAAACGGGUGACGGCGUACCUUUUGUAUAAUGGGUCAGCGACUUACAUUCAGUGGCAAGCUUAACCGAUUAGGGAAGGCGUAGCGAAAGCGAGUCCGAAUAGGGCGUUCAGUCGCUGGGUGUAGACCCGAAACCAAGUGAUCUAUCCAUGGCCAGGUUGAAGGUGCGGUAACACGUACUGGAGGACCGAACCCACUAACGUUGAAAAGUUAGGGGAUGAGCUGUGGAUAGGGGUGAAAGGCUAAACAAACUUGGAAAUAGCUGGUUCUCUCCGAAAACUAUUUAGGUAGUGCCUCGUGUCUCACCUUCGGGGGUAGAGCACUGUCAUGGUUGGGGGGUCUAUUGCUGAUUACCCCGCCAUAGCAAACUCCGAAUACCGAAGAGUGCAAUCACGGGAGACAGACAUCGGGUGCUAACGUCCGGUGUCAAGAGGGAAACAACCCAGACCGCCAGCUAAGGUCCCUAAGAUUGGCUAAGUGGGAAACGAAGUGGGAAGGCUAAAACAGUCAGGAGGUUGGCUUAGAAGCAGCCACCCUUUAAAGAAAGCGUAAUAGCUCACUGAUCGAGUCGUCCUGCGCGGAAGAUGUAACGGGGCUAAGCCAGUCACCGAAGCUGCGGAUGCACGUAAGUGCAUGGUAGGAGAGCGUUCUGUAAGCCUGUGAAGGUGUCUUGUAAAGGAUGCUGGAGGUAUCAGAAGUGCGAAUGCUGACAUGAGUAGCGAUAAAGGGGGUGAAAGGCCCCCUCGCCGUAAGCCCAAGGUUUCCUACGCAACGUUCAUCGGCGUAGGGUGAGUCGGCCCCUAAGGCGAGGCAGAGAUGCGUAGCUGAUGGGAAGCAGGUUAAUAUUCCUGCACCGUCGUAUGAUGCGAUGGGGGGACGGAUCGCGGAAGGUUGUCCGGGUGUUGGAUGUCCCGGUCCCUGCAUUGGAGAUGGCACUUAGGCAAAUCCGGGUGCGUGAUUCAAGGGUGUGGGGCGAGCGACUUUAGGUCGCGAAGCAAUUGGAAGUGGUUCCAAGAAAAGCCUCUAAGCUUCAGUCAUACGAGACCGUACCGCAAACCGACACAGGUGGGCGAGAUGAGUAUUCUAAGGCGCUUGAGAGAACUCGGGAGAAGGAACUCGGCAAAUUGGUACCGUAACUUCGGGAUAAGGUACGCCCUUGUAGUUUGACUGGCUCGCGCCAGAAGGACGAAGGGGUUGCAAUAAAAUGGUGGCUGCGACUGUUUAAUAAAAACACAGCACUCUGCAAACACGAAAGUGGACGUAUAGGGUGUGACGCCUGCCCGGUGCCGGAAGAUUAAAUGAUGGGGUGCAAGCUCUUGAUUGAAGUCCCGGUAAACGGCGGCCGUAACUAUAACGGUCCUAAGGUAGCGAAAUUCCUUGUC